GAUGAAGAACGUAGCGAAAUGCGAUACGUAAUGUGAAUUGCAGAAUUCAGUGAAUCAUCGAGUCUUUGAACGCACAUUGCGCCCCCUGGUAUUCCGGGGGGCAUGCCUGUCCGAGCGUCAUUGCUGCCCUCAAGCACGGCUUGUGUGUUGGGCCUCCGUCCUCCUCCCGGGGGACGGGCCCGAAAGGCAGCGGCGGCACCGCGUCCGGUCCUCGAGCGUAUGGGGCUUCGUCACCCGCUCUUGUAGGCCCGGCCGGCGCUUGCCGACACAUCAAUCUUUUUUCCAGGUUGACCUCGGAUCAGGUAGGGAUACCCGCUGAACUUAAGCAUAUCAUAAGCGGAGA
RNAcentral lists this unclassified non-coding RNA (343 nucleotides) under soil metagenome. RNAcentral's name for it is "partial contains 5.8S ribosomal RNA, internal transcribed spacer 2, and large subunit ribosomal RNA". The stretch from base 1 to 120 matches the Rfam family "5.8S ribosomal RNA", at positions 35 to 154 of the family's 154-position model. The record is from RNAcentral.